This is a non-coding RNA of Stegodyphus mimosarum, 73 nucleotides long. The record is from Rfam. Lineage: Eukaryota; Metazoa; Arthropoda; Arachnida; Araneae; Eresidae.
GCCUUUGUGGUGUAGCGGUCAGCACACUUGAUUCGUAACCGAGAGGUCCGUGGUUCGAUUCCCGGCGAAGGCG